RNAcentral lists this long non-coding RNA (902 nucleotides) under Homo sapiens (human). Its description in RNAcentral is "MIR663A host gene". Lineage: Eukaryota; Metazoa; Chordata; Mammalia; Primates; Hominidae. The record is from RNAcentral.
ACGUCGGUUGGUGGCCGCGUCUGGGACCGAACCGGGCACCGCCUUGUGGAAAAAAAAGAAUAGAAUAUACCCUGUUAAAUCAGACAUGAUACUUGCUUUUGUGGAGCUUAUGCUUUAGUGCAGAAACAGAAAGUCAAGCAAAAACUCAAACUAUGUAACUUUAAAUUGGAUAUGUGCUAAUGAAGGAAAAUGUGGCACUGUAAGAAAAAAUAAUAGGGAGUUAAAGGAUAAAUAGGAGUUUGCUGGAUGAAAUUUAUGAAGAGCUGAAGAUUUCAAACAAAAGAAACUGAUGCAGGAGGGUGCAGCUUUGGAGUCAAGAAUGAAGUUCUAGGAGAUAGAGAGCAAAGAAAUGGUGGGAGAGGAGGUCAAAACGGAAUGAAGUUGAUAAUAGUGAGACCUUGUUGGUACAAGACUAUGUAACAUAACCUGCGCUUCUCAACAAAGAAUUGCUUUUCUGACUUCUGCACUCACAAGACAAAUCUCUCCUCUGCCUUCUCCUUAUCAGACUACUCAACAUGAAGGCAAUAAGAAUGAAGACCUCUAUGUAUAAUAAUUGACUUCCACUUAAUAAAUAGCACCUCCUACGAACCAGGAUCUGUACUUGCUGUCCCAGUUAUAAAGUAAAACAGCCUGUCCUUCCUGCACUCAAGGAGACAGCUCCAUAAGCGGGGAGCUUGUUAAAAAUGCAGAAUUUGGGGAACUAUUCACAGAGAUUUUUACUAAGUUACGUGGAAAAAAGCCUGGGACUAGCUACGAUCUCCCCUCUGGUGAUUUGGAUGUGAUAGUCUCUUAAACAUAUUUUGAAAUAUACUCGCCCAAAGAAUGGAGAAAGACCCAGCCGGCCCUCCUCAUGUGGCUGCUGAGGGAGAUAUAUGUAUAAUUAAAAAACUGCCAAAAACAAA